Molecule: ribosomal RNA, 253 nt
Filed under: uncultured bacterium
Lineage: Bacteria
Description: partial 16S ribosomal RNA
Rfam family: Bacterial small subunit ribosomal RNA
Source: RNAcentral
UACAUGUGGGGCAAGCGUUGUUCGGAAUUACUGGGCAUAAAGGGUGCGUAGGCGGCGGUAUAAGUCAGCGGUGAAAUCCUUCGGCCCAACCGGAGAACUGCCGUUGAUACUGUGCUGCUUGAGUGCGUGAGGGGUGGCUGGAACGAGUGGUGUAGCGGUGAAAUGCGUAGAUAUCACUCGGAACACCUAAGGCGAAGGCAGGCCACUGGCACGCAACUGACGCUGAGGCACGAAAGCGUGGGGAGCAAACAGG